This is an unclassified non-coding RNA of Vigna unguiculata (cowpea), 3963 nucleotides long. Lineage: Eukaryota; Viridiplantae; Streptophyta; Magnoliopsida; Fabales; Fabaceae. The record is from RefSeq and is a predicted model, not a curated record.
GUAACAUUCAAGAAUUGUCCCUUUUGCACCCAACUCUCUUUCCGUUAGUCCCUACAACUUCACCGUUCUCUGACUACUAGGGUGGCGGAUUCCAGGACUGAUAGAGAAGCCGGUAGACGAAUGUCGUCAGUUUCUUGCACUAAGCUGACACUAUUCACCGUUGCAGCAGUUACCAUCCAGUUCAUCGGUCUCUCCAUCUUCGUUUUCGGCUUCUUCCCCGUCAAACCACUACUCACCGGCCACAGUGGUUCGGAGAGUUUCCGACGACCGACCUGCGAUGUCCGCGACGUCUCAAAUCAUAGCGAUGCGUCUCUGCUUCCUGAUAGUCUCAGGUUUUUGUAUCAGGAAGUAUCCGAGGUUCCUCCUUUGUAUGAUCGACUUGUCUUAAUGGUUAUUGAUGGUCUUCCAGCGGAAUUUGUGCUUGGCAAGAAGGGUCAGCCUCCUAGCAAAGUUUUUAUGGAAGCUAUGCCGUAUACACAGUCAUUGUUGGCAAAUGGUACGGCUGUUGGAUAUCAUGCUAUAGCUGCUGCUCCAACUGUUACAAUGCCUCGUUUGAAGGCCAUGGUUUCUGGGGCAAUUGGCGGUUUCCUGGAUGUGGCUUUCAACUUUAACACCCAGGCUUAUUUAGAAGAUAAUCUUCUUGCACAGUUCUUUAAGAUUGGUUGGAAAAUGGUCAUGCAUGGUGAUGAUACAUGGCUCAAGUUGUUUCCUGGUUUAUUUGAAAGACAUGAUGGAGUUACCAGCUUUUUUGUUAAAGAUACUGUACAAGUGGAUCAAAAUGUGUCUCGACAUCUUGUUGAUGAGCUUAGUAGAGAUGAUUGGAAGUUUCUGAUACUUCAUUAUCUAGGCUUGGAUCAUGUUGGACAUCUUGGUGGGCGCAACAGUGUUUUAAUGGCUUCAAAACUUGUUGAAAUGGAUGAAGUAGUGAAGACGAUUCAUAUAAAUACUUUGCAAAAUCUAGAAAAUGAUCAAGGGAAGACACUUCUGGUUGUAGUCAGUGACCAUGGAAUGACUGAGAAUGGUAAUCAUGGGGGUUCAUCCUACGAGGAAACAGACUCUAUAGCCUUAUUUAUUGGGCCAAAACCCCAUACCUUUCACCAUUCUUCAUCCAAUCCUGACACAAUUUUCCAGGUUGAUAUUGCACCAACAUUAGCUUUACUUUUUGGCGUGCCAAUUCCCAAAAAUAAUAUUGGUGUUUUGAUCUCUCAAAUGGUUGACUCUCUGACAGAUGACCAAAAGCUUAGGGCACUGCAGUUGAACUCAUGGCAGUUGUUCAGAUUACUUCAAGCACAAUUGCCUGGUUUAUCCUGUAGAAAUCUUCUCUGUGACACCUUCAUUACUAAUAGUGAACCCACAAUCAGUGAAUGUAAAGGUAGGGAGGAGAAGUUGUUUUGUUGCUUGUACGUAAAUGCUGCUACUCUCCAUGAUGCCUGGAAGGCUAAAGUAUUCUCCAGGUUUAAUGGUACAGAAGGUUAUAACAGCUUUCUUGCCGCAUAUCACGAGUUUCUGAGUUCAGCAAGUGAGUGGUUAUCACACAAAGCAACUGAUAAACCAGUUAAUUUACUUGUUCUUGGAGUUGCUGCUUUGAUCAUAUCAUGCUUGAUACUUUUGGGACUUGUGUUUUUCAUCCACAAAGAAAUUCCUUCUUGGGAGACGCAAGAUCAUGAAAAUUAUAUGACACCAUGGAAAUUUGAUGAGGUAUUCGUUUUGUUUGGCAUCCUGACCCUUGUCAUCAGUAUGGGAUCAAGUUCCAUGAUUGAGGAAGAACAUUAUAUUUGGAAUUUCCUAACUUCUACAAUUAACUUCUUAUUUUUUCGUAAAGCAAUACAGUCUUUGCAUCUUAAUAAAGCACAUGAUAUUCUCAGUUCGACAGAGGAAAAAAGAAAUAUAUCAGGAUGCCAAAUAAGCUCACUGUUCCUUAUUCUUUUUACUGGAAGAAUUUUGGGAGGCUGGCAUCAAGGUGGUGUAAAUUGGACUAAUCUUCCUGACAUUGCCAAGUGGCUUGAGCAGGCUGGCAACCAAUAUAUAAACUUGAUUCAGAUAGCAUCAUGUGCAAUGGUCAUCAUUUUGGGCAUAUCUAUAUUGUACCUAGUGCAGUCUAAAACAAAAGUUGUAACAGUGAUUUGGUUUAGCUUGCUUAUGUCUGGUUUGUUGGUAUUACAGCAUUUUGUGAAACAUCAGGACAUGUCAAUCCCAUAUAAUAAUGAUGAGAACUUAUCAAUACAAGUAUUCUAUGCUGUUCUGGGAAUCACCACUGUUGCAGUUGUGUUGAUUUUGCCAUGGAUUAUGCCUAUGCAAACUCCUGAAAUAUGCUCAAGGAAAAACAUCUGCAUGUCUGCUUCUGUUCCUGUUGAAGUUCAGAACAUGACACGUAUUUUCGUAUUGAAGGAUUCCUUGUACAUAGUUGGAUGCUUGUACAUAACUUUCUGGUGUCUGCUGCAGUUAUUGCUUCAACAAUCCAUCAAUGCGAUGCCUGUGUUGCUGCUCUUUAUUCAAUUCUUGGCCAGCAUGCUUACUUUUUCUUCCAGUGGUUCAUGUCAUAAGCAGUGGGUUGAGAUUACUGCUCUGUACUAUCUGGGAAUGGCAGGCCAUUUUGCUCUUGGGAAUAGUAAUACACUAGCUACAAUUGACGUAGCUGGAGCUUUUAUUGGAAUUUCAAGUCACUCAACCUUCCUUUCAGGUCUUCUAAUGUUCAUCAUUACUUAUGCAUCCCCCAUGUUAUUCUUUCUGAGUCUGGUGCUGUACAUCUCUGUCAAGGCCAUGAUCUAUCCACUGGUUAUCAGGAACGGAAACUCCGGAGAAAUUCUCAAGACCCUUCUUGGAUUUCCUUGCUUGGUACCGCUGACCAUAAAUUCUGUUCUCUUGACUGUGUACACAAUUGUCCUGCUGUUGAUGAGGAAUCACUUGUUUAUUUGGAGUGUUUUUUCUCCCAAGUACCUUUACGUCUGUGCUGCUACUGCAUGUGUCUAUAUUGGCGCCAUCAUUGUAGUUGCUACUGUGAUUUAUACAUUCAUUGUUCUUUUUUGGCUGAGAAAGAGUUUCUCCUUAAGUAGCAAGGAAAAAGAACUGUAAAUCUAUUGAUGAGGAUUGAAGGAAGAUGUAACUGAUUGCUAUAUUCUCACUUUUACAUUCACACUGACUGAGAUAAAAGCCUACAUCUAUGAAGUCAAGAGGAUGAUCUACUAUGCACCAAGGUAAAUUGUCAUCCAAAGAUAAAAUGUCAUUAACAUUACCUAUUAUGCACCGAGGUAAAUUAAACAUUCAAUAAUGUUGUCUCAACAAGUUCAACCAGUCCGUCUUCAACUCCUUCAGGAAAAUAGAGAAUCUCAAUUAAUUCUUUAUCAUCCCCUCCUUGUAUCAUGAACCUCCACGUCAAUAGAAUUCCUCGAAAAAGAAGUAAUUUGACAAUUAAACCCCUCUUCCACCGUCCUAUAAACAGAAAACGAAUGAUAAAAAUGAGUACUCCUAACAACCCUCAGCAUAUCAGCCAAAAUUGUCCAAUUUGUGUGUCCAAAAUUUUCAUUUCUCGUUGACAAUCACAAACGAAGAGUUUGGUCUCCCAAAGCCCCCAUUUUCUCUAGAAACAGUAGUGUGGGUUUAGAGAGGAAGAAAGACUUGGUUUGGUUACUCAUCAUGUACUUACUGCAAUCCUAAAAAUCAUUCCCACAGAGGUUAAUUGGAGUUUUGACACCAUUUCCCGAAUCCUUACCUAUGCUAACUUACUAACCAAAAACUCUUGACUUAUGAAGGUAUUUCCUUUUCUUUCAUGUACUCUAAGAUAUUGGCAGUAUAAGGUAUAACGUAGUUGUAAUGCUAGCGUGUUUUUAGAUUUUUGAGACACUUUCUGGGAGAGUUGGAAGCCUAUAUGUUUGAUAACUUUUGGAAGUUUAUAUCAUUGUUAUGAUGUAAAUAUUUUCUCAUAUCUUAUGACAACUUGCCAUUUCAAGAUGUGAAUAUAAUAUU